RNAcentral lists this non-coding RNA (31 nucleotides) under Mus musculus (house mouse). Lineage: Eukaryota; Metazoa; Chordata; Mammalia; Rodentia; Muridae. The record is from RNAcentral.
UGAAGACCAUCACCCUGAUAGAGGUAUAAGA